Molecule: transfer RNA, 65 nt
Filed under: Centrophryne spinulosa
Lineage: Eukaryota; Metazoa; Chordata; Actinopteri; Lophiiformes; Centrophrynidae
Description: tRNA-Cys
Source: RNAcentral
AGCCUUGAGGUGUCAACAUGUUAGAUUGCAAAUCUAGAGAAGUAGACUAGCGUCUACCGGGGCUU